UACGUAGGGACGAGCGUUGUCCGGAAUUACUGGGCGUAAAGGGCGCGCAGGCGGAUAUUUAAGUCAGCUGUUAAAGUCAUGGGCUCAACUCAUGGAUGCGGUUGAAACUGGGUAUCUAGAGUGCUGGAGAGGUAGGCGGAAUUCCCGGUGUAGCGGUGAAAUGCGUAGAUAUCGGGAAGAACACCAGUGGCGAAGGCGGCUUACUGGCCAGCAACUGACGCUGAGGCGCGAAAGCCAGGGGAGCGAACGGGAUUAGAUACCCCGGUAGU
RNAcentral lists this ribosomal RNA (269 nucleotides) under uncultured prokaryote. RNAcentral's name for it is "partial 16S ribosomal RNA". It matches the Rfam family "Bacterial small subunit ribosomal RNA", at positions 524 to 794 of the family's 1533-position model. The record is from RNAcentral.